Molecule: transfer-messenger RNA, 368 nt
Filed under: Gloeobacter kilaueensis JS1
Lineage: Bacteria; Bacillati; Cyanobacteriota; Cyanophyceae; Gloeobacterales; Gloeobacteraceae
Also listed under: 1 other name
Rfam family: transfer-messenger RNA
About the family: Bacterial tmRNA, also known as 10Sa RNA or SsrA, is named for its dual tRNA and mRNA-like properties. Its role is to liberate the mRNA from a stalled ribosome.
Source: Rfam by way of RNAcentral
GGGGCUGCACUGGCUUCGACAUUCCAGAGAAAGCCGUCCAUGCAGGCCGGGAGUGAGUCCGACCCCCGUUAAAUCAGGCUCAAAAACAAUAAGUGCGAACAACAUCGUUCCCUUUUCCCGCGCUCGCGUAGCAAUCGCUGCGUAGAACGGGUCUCGCAGGACGGACCCACGACGGUCUGUGAGAUACGGCUAGUGGGUGCUCCGGUAAACGUCCUUCGUCGCGUCACCGGCUAAGCUUAGACGAUGAAUCCCGUUAUCCGGAAUAAGCGAUAGCCCCCGCUCCUUGGGUCAAUCGAGCUAAGCCUGUGAACGAAUGGUAGGUGAAUAACUGCGGAUGGACAGGGGUUCGAUUCCCCUCAGCUCCACUU